UUUUAUUACAGAGACUUAAGGUGCUUGAUAGAGAUUUGAGGCGUUUAUUUGGCCAGGAUCAGGCCCAAUCUUGCCAUCGUUCGGAGACAGUCGGUGUGUAGGCGCACCGCUUCUCCCUUUCUCCCACUUCUUACCUUAAUUUACUGUAUAACCUUCUCCUUAUAUUAUAGUUUAUUCAGCGUCCUUUCUGACGCGCGGCACACCAACUUCCGAAACACAAAUUGCUGCUGCGCAAACUUCUUGACGCGACGUCGCCUACGAUCUCCUGGGGAUCAACCUACUCUACUUCAUCCUUUACAGACGUCAAAUUCGCUGCUGCCUUUGUGGACAGUGCAAAUUUCCACCAUCCCGUGGAGCGGACAUUUUCGCCCUCCCUCACCGUUGCCUACCCGCCCUUAACUGGGCGGGGUUGAUCCGGGGAGGGAUUCAAGAACUCUUUUCGAAGGUGACCGGAAUACAGCCGGGAUGCAGUAGAUGACAUCUAAACAAGCCUGGAUGACUCAAGCUGGAGUGUCACGGUUAUGAUUCCCAUAGGGCUAUAUGAUGAAGGAGACGAUACCGCGCAAGUAACAGGAAUCAGGCGCGGUGCCUCAUGCCGACCGCAGGCGAUUCAUGGU
RNAcentral lists this long non-coding RNA (617 nucleotides) under Volvox carteri. Its description in RNAcentral is "long non-coding RNA (VCAR_LNC004265)". Lineage: Eukaryota; Viridiplantae; Chlorophyta; Chlorophyceae; Chlamydomonadales; Volvocaceae. The record is from RNAcentral.